GCCCUCGUAGCUCAAAGGAUUAGAGCUUCGCACUCCUAAGGCGAAGAUGGAGGUUCGAUUCCCCCCGAGGGCA
This 73-nucleotide transfer RNA is filed under the name Candidatus Portnoybacteria bacterium CG10_big_fil_rev_8_21_14_0_10_38_18. RNAcentral describes it as "tRNA-Arg". It matches the Rfam family "tRNA". From Rfam's summary of the family: Transfer RNA (tRNA) molecules are approximately 80 nucleotides in length. Their secondary structure includes four short double-helical elements and three loops (D, anti-codon, and T loops). Further hydrogen bonds mediate the characteristic L-shaped molecular structure. tRNAs have two regions of fundamental functional importance: the anti-codon, which is responsible for specific mRNA codon recognition, and the 3' end, to which the tRNAs corresponding amino acid is attached (by aminoacyl-tRNA synthetases). tRNAs cope with the degeneracy of the genetic code in two manners: having more than one tRNA (with a specific anti-codon) for a particular amino acid; and 'wobble' base-pairing, i.e. permitting non-standard base-pairing at the 3rd anti-codon position. Lineage: Bacteria; Candidatus Portnoyibacteriota. The record is from RNAcentral.